CAGCCGCCGCGGUAAAACGGAGGGUGCAAGCGUUAAUCGGAAUUACUGGGCGUAAAGCGCACGCAGGCGGUCUGACAAGUCAGAUGUGAAAUCCCCGGGCUUAACCUGGGAACUGCAUUUGAAACUGUCAGGCUGGAGUCUUGUAGAGGGGGGUGGAAUUCCAGGUGUAGCGGUGAAAUGCGUAGAGAUCUGGAGGAAUACCGGUGGCGAAGGCGGCCCCCUGGACAAAGACUGACGCUCAGGUGCGAAAGCGUGGGGAGCAAACAGGAUUAGAGACCCCAGUAGUCCCUGUCUCUUAUAC
RNAcentral lists this ribosomal RNA (301 nucleotides) under uncultured bacterium. RNAcentral's name for it is "partial 16S ribosomal RNA". It matches the Rfam family "Bacterial small subunit ribosomal RNA", at positions 509 to 807 of the family's 1533-position model. The record is from RNAcentral.